GCUAUCUGCAGUCGAGCGGACAGAUGGGAGCUUGCUCCCUGAUGUUAGCGGCGGACGGGUGAGUAACACGUGGGUAACCUGCCUGUAAGACUGGGAUAACUCCGGGAAACCGGGGCUAAUACCGGAUGGUUGUUUGAACCGCAUGGUUCAAACAUAAAAGGUGGCUUCGGCUACCACUUACAGAUGGACCCGCGGCGCAUUAGCUAGUUGGUGAGGUAACGGCUCACCAAGGCAACGAUGCGUAGCCGACCUGAGAGGGUGAUCGGCCACACUGGGACUGAGACACGGCCCAGACUCCUACGGGAGGCAGCAGUAGGGAAUCUUCCGCAAUGGACGAAAGUCUGACGGAGCAACGCCGCGUGAGUGAUGAAGGUUUUCGGAUCGUAAAGCUCUGUUGUUAGGGAAGAACAAGUACCGUUCGAAUAGGGCGGUACCUUGACGGUACCUAACCAGAAAGCCACGGCUAACUACGUGCCAGCAGCCGCGGUAAUACGUAGGUGGCAAGCGUUGUCCGGAAUUAUUGGGCGUAAAGGGCUCGCAGGCGGUUUCUUAAGUCUGAUGUGAAAGCCCCCGGCUCAACCGGGGAGGGUCAUUGGAAACUGGGGAACUUGAGUGCAGAAGAGGAGAGUGGAAUUCCACGUGUAGCGGUGAAAUGCGUAGAGAUGUGGAGGAACACCAGUGGCGAAGGCGACUCUCUGGUCUGUAACUGACGCUGAGGAGCGAAAGCGUGGGGAGCGAACAGGAUUAGAUACCCUGGUAGUCCACGCCGUAAACGAUGAGUGCUAAGUGUUAGGGGGUUUCCGCCCCUUAGUGCUGCAGCUAACGCAUUAAGCACUCCGCCUGGGGAAGU
RNAcentral lists this ribosomal RNA (850 nucleotides) under uncultured bacterium. RNAcentral describes it as "bacterial SSU rRNA". It matches the Rfam family "Bacterial small subunit ribosomal RNA", at positions 50 to 882 of the family's 1533-position model. The record is from RNAcentral.